GUACGGAAGGCAGCAGUGGGGAAUCUUGCGCAAUGGACGAAAGUCUGACGCAGCAACGCCGCGUGUGUGAUGAAGGUCUUCGGAUCGUAAAGCACUGUCGCGAGGGAAGAUACACGACCAGAUAACACCUGGGCGUUAAGACGGUACCUCGAGAGGAAGCACCGGCUAACUCUGUGCCAGCAGCCGCGGUAAUACAGAGGGUGCGAGUGUUGUUCGGAAUUAUUGGGCGUAAAGCGCUUGUAGGCGGUCGUUUAAGUCUCAUGUGAAAGCCCUCGGCUCAACCGAGGAAGUGCAUGAGAUACUGGACGACUUGAAUGCCGGAGAGGGUCGCGGAAUUCCCGGUGUAGAGGUGAAAUUCGUAGAUAUCGGGAGGAACACCAGUGGCGAAGGCGGCGACCUGGACGGACAUUGACGCUGAGACGCGAAAGCGUGGGGAGCAAACAGGAUUAGAUACCCUUGUAGUCA
This 465-nucleotide ribosomal RNA is filed under the name uncultured bacterium. RNAcentral describes it as "bacterial SSU rRNA". It matches the Rfam family "Bacterial small subunit ribosomal RNA", at positions 339 to 796 of the family's 1533-position model. The record is from RNAcentral.